RNAcentral lists this long non-coding RNA (220 nucleotides) under Elaeis guineensis (African oil palm). RNAcentral's name for it is "long non-coding RNA (EGUI_LNC027961)". The record is from RNAcentral. Lineage: Eukaryota; Viridiplantae; Streptophyta; Magnoliopsida; Arecales; Arecaceae.
CUUGACCUUCCAACUUUCUCGAGUUAGGUAAAUGGUGUCACUUCAUGGCACACGAGCUGUCAACCGAAAGCUUGAGCAUGGCAUAGCCUUUACUCCUAGCCAUCUACUUAUACCAACAGGAUGAUGUGAUGGGGCUAUAAAGGGCCUCUUUUGGGAUCAUCAUGGCAAGCUAUUGGGGGCAUUAAUUGAUCCAAGAAGUAACGUGCUUCGACGGCUGGUC